RNAcentral lists this ribosomal RNA (626 nucleotides) under uncultured Enterobacteriaceae bacterium. RNAcentral describes it as "SSU rRNA". It matches the Rfam family "Bacterial small subunit ribosomal RNA", at positions 28 to 648 of the family's 1533-position model. Lineage: Bacteria; Pseudomonadati; Pseudomonadota; Gammaproteobacteria; Enterobacterales; Enterobacteriaceae. The record is from RNAcentral.
AUUGAACGCUGGCGGCAGGCCUACACAUGCAGUCGAGCGGUACACAGAGAGCUUGCUCUCGGGUGACGAGCGGCGGACGGGUGAGUAAUGUCUGGGAAACUGCCUGAUGGAGGGGGAUAACUACUGGAAACGGUAGCUAAUACCGCAUAAUGUCACAAGACCAAAGUGGGGGACCUUCGGGCCUCAUGCCAUCAGAUGUGCCCAGAUGGGAUUAGCUAGUAGGUGGGGUAACGGCUCACCUAGGCGACGAUCCCUAGCUGGUCUGAGAGGAUGACCAGCCACACUGGAACUGAGACACGGUCCAGACUCCUACGGGAGGCAGCAGUGGGGAAUAUUGCACAAUGGGCGCAAGCCUGAUGCAGCCAUGCCGCGUGUGUGAAGAAGGCCUUCGGGUUGUAAAGCACUUUCAGCGGGGAGGAAGGCGUUAAGGUUAAUAACCUUGGCGAUUGACGUUACCCGCAGAAGAAGCACCGGCUAACUCCGUGCCAGCAGCCGCGGUAAUACGGAGGGUGCAAGCGUUAAUCGGAAUUACUGGGCGUAAAGCGCACGCAGGCGGUCUGUCAAGUCGGAUGUGAAAUCCCCGGGCUCAACCUGGGAACUGCAUUCGAAACUGGCAGGCUAGAGUC